CUGCUAUUUGGUCUCCGUUUGAAACAUCCAGUGGACAGGUGCAGAACUUCAGUGGUUGCUCAGCACAGAGGCGAAAUAGUGGUUUGAGUGUCAAUUCCACAUCUCGAAUUUCACCUACCCUCCCUGAACCAGCGGUUGGGCUAGAACAUCCAUUAGCACGCAGAAUUCACAGCGAUCCAAUUAAUGGUAUCUCUUGGCUGGCCACACAGGGCUCACUGUCCUCUUUCUCCAGCAGCACUGGCUAUUCCUCGUCUUCCUCUUUGCCAGGCAGCUCAUCUGUGGCCUCUGGAUCUCCCACAGACUCGAGCAGCUCUGAUGGCCAGCGCAAAAGUGG
Molecule: non-coding RNA, 334 nt
Organism: Pelobates cultripes (western spadefoot toad)
Lineage: Eukaryota; Metazoa; Chordata; Amphibia; Anura; Pelobatidae
Source: the annotation of a GenBank genome assembly